GGCGGCGCCACCGCGCGCCUUCCUCAGCCGCUGUUAACCCCGGGGUCUAGAGAAGCACUGAGAGGACUCCUCAGCCUGUGCCAGAUAAUUUCCACUGGAUAUUAAUAAGAUCCUGUGGUGAUGUUAACCAGGUUUGAGCACUAGCAUUCCUAAUGUGCAUUGAACACCUCCUGUCUUAUGCUUAUUUAUGCCAGUUUUAGCGGUUUUCCAAAUCUCUAAGGCGCUGUGCACAAUUAAAAUAGCAGAGUUCCCAUCUCCAAGGAAUUUGCAACCAUAGACAGCACAGUGAAGACAGGUGUUAACUUGAAGGCAGCGCACAAACGGGAGGCAAUUGAAGUUGUCACCUACUGUACAACACAGUGGCCCUUGUAUGAAGAUCCAAGACACAUAUGGAAAUUAAAGAUUUAAUUAUCACUCCUUUGGAGGAUUUGUUGGCCAUCAGCAACUUGGGCUUAACUUGGGUCCAAUUUUAUAAUUUUAGUAAAUUAUAAUAAUAUUUAUGAUAUCUAUAACUAUAUACUAGUGCUUGGUCUUAUUGUUCAGAUAUAGCUAUAGUUUUUCUUGUUUAAUUUUUAUGUGUUUAUUUUUUAUUUUGUUGAAUUAAUUUUGUCUUUCAUCGGUAUUUGUUAGUUCCUCAUUUUUUUGUGUCUUUCUGUGUAUGUAAAUAGGUAAUUCCUCUAAAUAACAUUUCUUUUGUUAUCAA
Long non-coding RNA from Homo sapiens (human), 703 nucleotides. Lineage: Eukaryota; Metazoa; Chordata; Mammalia; Primates; Hominidae. The record is from Ensembl.